GCAUUGGUUGUUCAGUGGUAGAAUUCUUGCCUUUCCUGUGGGAGUCCUGGGUUCGAUUCCCAGCUGAUACA
Molecule: transfer RNA, 71 nt
Filed under: Loxodonta africana (African savanna elephant)
Lineage: Eukaryota; Metazoa; Chordata; Mammalia; Proboscidea; Elephantidae
Rfam family: tRNA
About the family: Transfer RNA (tRNA) molecules are approximately 80 nucleotides in length. Their secondary structure includes four short double-helical elements and three loops (D, anti-codon, and T loops). Further hydrogen bonds mediate the characteristic L-shaped molecular structure. tRNAs have two regions of fundamental functional importance: the anti-codon, which is responsible for specific mRNA codon recognition, and the 3' end, to which the tRNAs corresponding amino acid is attached (by aminoacyl-tRNA synthetases). tRNAs cope with the degeneracy of the genetic code in two manners: having more than one tRNA (with a specific anti-codon) for a particular amino acid; and 'wobble' base-pairing, i.e. permitting non-standard base-pairing at the 3rd anti-codon position.
Source: Rfam by way of RNAcentral